UUUCACCAUGUUGGUCAGGUUGGUGUCGAACUUCCGACCAGGUGACCCACCCAUCUCGGCCUCCCAAAGUGCUGGGAUUACAGGCGUGAGCCACCGCACCCGGCCAACUCUAUUAUUUUUAAAAAACACAGAUUUCUAAAACAUGUAGUACCCAACGACAAGAGUGAGACCCCUAAAGUAACAGAUGACUAUGGACACUGUGAAGAAGUCGAGCAACAAGCAUGGGGCUUCAAUGAAAGACUGGUAAAGUCAUGUUCUGAUUUGUAUUAUCAUAGCAUUAAAAUGAGGAAUAAAAUCACCUUAGACAUUUCACUUGAUGUUGUUCUGAACUAUAAUAAAAAAAAAUCAGGUUGCAUUAUCCUUCCCAAAUAUCACAUCCGCUCUCUCAGCAGGUCUAGCCUUGCAAGGAGAUAUUUUCAAAGUAACCAGAGUUUUCGGCCCCAGAGCAGAGAAUGAUCACCAUAACACAGGCAGCGUCCAUCCCUAGCCCCUGCUGACCAAAUGGCAUGCAGGAGAAAUGAGGUGGCUGGAAGAUGUCUCCGUGGAAUAGAGGUUCCUAGACUCAUGAACCUUAGGGAGGAAGAAACAAAUGGCUCUCUCCUUGGGGAACUUUCUCACUCUUCUCCGGCACCGCUCCUGCCUUUCCAGAGAAUGGGGUCUGCUUGUUUGCAAAUCCAGAGUACCAACUGGGUCAACCGAUGGAUCUUUGUGGAACUCCUCUGAUAAGCCUACAGUGGUUCAAGCACCGUACAGGCAGACUGAAGACAGAAAGAAGUGUGAGUCACAGAGUCUCUUCCAAAUUUCAGACCUGUGGCAGCUUCCCAGAGGCUGGAGUAGACCAGAAGAGAAUGACUAAGGCAUGAUGUUCUGGGAGUUACAGUCCUGGCACGUAAUUGUGAAUAUGGCACAAAAUGAGGCGGUGGGUGUCCAGACUGCACCUAACAAUGGGAGCCUGAGAGCAAAUGGCUGGAAGGUCAGGAAGGCAGGAGACUGUCAGUAGCAAGAGCAGGUCUGGGGUGACGUUGGCUCCUUGAGAAAUGAAAACUUCAUCAUAAGAAUCUGUGAAAAUGGGGAAAAUGGGUAAAUGAGGACAGAUUCAAAAUUGGAAGAAAACAGAAAAAUCUCUGUUCUUUUUUUCUAAUUGUUCUUUUAAUGAAAUCAGUACUGCCCUUUGGCAUUAACGAUCAUAUG
RNAcentral lists this long non-coding RNA (1191 nucleotides) under Homo sapiens (human). RNAcentral's name for it is "HSALNT0293597". The record is from RNAcentral. Lineage: Eukaryota; Metazoa; Chordata; Mammalia; Primates; Hominidae.